Molecule: ribosomal RNA, 440 nt
Filed under: uncultured bacterium
Lineage: Bacteria
Description: partial 16S ribosomal RNA
Rfam family: Bacterial small subunit ribosomal RNA
Source: RNAcentral
CCUACGGGCGGCUGCAGUAGGGAAUAUUGCUCAAUGGCGGAAACGCUGAAGCAGCAACGCCGCGUGGAGGAUGAAGGUUUUAGGAUUGUAAACUCCUUUUGUUAGAGAAGUUUAUGACGGUAUCUAACGAAUAUGCCCUGGCUAACUCCGUGCCAGCAGCCGCGGUAAUACGGAGGGUGCAAGCGUUACUCGGAAUCACUGGGCGUAAAGAGUGCGUAGGCGGGGUAAUAAGUCAGAUGUGAAAUCCUGUAGCUUAACUACAGAACUGCAGUUGAAACUGUUACUCUGGAGUGUGGGAGAGGUAGGUGGAAUGCUUGGUGUAGGGGUAAAAUCCAUAGAGAUCAAGAGGAAUACUGAUUGCGAAGGCGACCUGCUGGAACAUUACUGACGCUGAUGCACGAAAGCGUGGGGAGCAAACAGGAUUAGAUACCCUUGUAGUC